RNAcentral lists this ribosomal RNA (238 nucleotides) under uncultured bacterium. RNAcentral's name for it is "partial 16S ribosomal RNA". It matches the Rfam family "Bacterial small subunit ribosomal RNA", at positions 96 to 334 of the family's 1533-position model. The record is from RNAcentral.
CGGCGGACGGGUGAGUAACGCGUGGGUAACCUGCCUCAUACAGGGGGAUAACAGUUAGAAAUGACUGCUAAUACCGCAUAAGACCACGGUACCGCAUGGUACAGUGGUAAAAACUCCGGUGGUAUGAGAUGGACCCGCGUCUGAUUAGGUAGUUGGUGGGGUAACGGCCUACCAAGCCGACGAUCAGUAGCCGACCUGAGAAGGUGACCGGCCACAUUGGGACUGAGACACGGCCCAG